GUGGUUGUGGUUCAGUGGUAGAAUGCUUGCCUAGCAUGCAUGAGGCAUUGUGUUCAAUUCCCAGCACCACA
Molecule: non-coding RNA, 71 nt
Organism: Ictidomys tridecemlineatus (thirteen-lined ground squirrel)
Lineage: Eukaryota; Metazoa; Chordata; Mammalia; Rodentia; Sciuridae
Source: Rfam